GUAUGUACCCCCAGAAGUACUUCCGCUCGGAGAAGAAGGAGACGGCAAGCAGGGUGUACAGGAAGGCCCAGAACCAGCCUGAUGUCAGGAUCAGAACAAAAGAGGAGGACUGCAUAUGUAUGGACCCACUCCAGAUGGCACGGGGACGGGGGGGAGUAGGAAAAGUGGCAUGAUGAGGGAAUGGAGGCACAGACUGAUUAGAAAACCAGCUCAAGGUCAUGUUGCUGAAAUACUUCUAAGGGGCCAGGCGUGGUGACUCACGCUUGUAAUUCCAAGCACUUUGGCAGGCUGAGGCAGGUGGAUCACCUGAAGCCAGGAGUUCAAGAGCAGCCUGGCCAACAUGGCAAAACCCUGUCUAUACUAAAAAUACAAAAAUUAGCCAGGCAUGGUGGCGGGAGCCUGUAAUCUCAGCUCCUAGGGAGGCUGAGCCAGGAGAAUCGCUUAAACCUGGAAGCUGGAGGUUGCAGUGAGCCAAGAUCACACCACCACACUCCAGCCUGGGUGACAGAGCAAGACUCCAUCUCAAAAAGAAAAAAAAAAAA
This 542-nucleotide non-coding RNA is filed under the name Pongo abelii (Sumatran orangutan). The record is from RNAcentral. Lineage: Eukaryota; Metazoa; Chordata; Mammalia; Primates; Hominidae.